GAUGAACGCUGGCGGCGUGCCUAAUACAUGCAAGUCGAGCGAACAGACGAGGAGCUUGCUCCUCUGACGUUAGCGGCGGACGGGUGAGUAACACGUGUAUAACCUACCUAUAAGACUGGGAUAACUUCGGGAAACCGGAGCUAAUACCGGAUAAUAUAUUGAACCGCAUGGUUCAAUAGUGAAAGACGGUUUUGCUGUCUCUUAUAGAUGGAUCCGCGCCGCAUUAGCUAGUUGGUAAGGUAACGGCUUACCAAGGCGACGAUGCGUAGCCGACGUGAGAGGGUGAUCGGCGACACUGGAGCUGGACCACGGUCCAGGCUCCUACGGGAGGCAGCAGUAGGGAAUCUUCCGCAAUGGGCGAAAGCCUGACGGAGCAACGCCGCGUGAGUGAUGAAGGUCUUCGGAUCGUAAAACUCUGUUAUGAGGGAAAAACAAAUGUGUAAGUAACUAUGCACGUCUUGACGGUACCUAAUCAGAAAGCCACGGCUAACUACGUG
RNAcentral lists this ribosomal RNA (497 nucleotides) under uncultured bacterium. RNAcentral describes it as "partial 16S ribosomal RNA". It matches the Rfam family "Bacterial small subunit ribosomal RNA", at positions 28 to 507 of the family's 1533-position model. The record is from RNAcentral.